Molecule: ribosomal RNA, 461 nt
Filed under: Uruburuella sp. A3
Lineage: Bacteria; Pseudomonadati; Pseudomonadota; Betaproteobacteria; Neisseriales; Neisseriaceae
Description: bacterial SSU rRNA
Rfam family: Bacterial small subunit ribosomal RNA
Source: RNAcentral
AGCGCAGACGGUUAUUUAAGCAAGAUGUGAAAGCCCCGGGCUCAACCUGGGAACUGCGUUUUGAACUGGGUAACUAGAGUGUGUCAGAGGGGGGUAGAAUUCCACGUGUAGCAGUGAAAUGCGUAGAGAUGUGGAGGAAUACCGAUGGCGAAGGCAGCCCCCUGGGAUAACACUGACGUUCAUGCUCGAAAGCGUGGGUAGCAAACAGGAUUAGAUACCCUGGUAGUCCACGCCCUAAACGAUGUCAAUUAGCUGUUGGGGUACUUGAUGCCUUAGUAGCGUAGCUAACGCGUGAAAUUGACCGCCUGGGGAGUACGGUCGCAAGAUUAAAACUCAAAGGAAUUGACGGGGACCCGCACAAGCGGUGGAUGAUGUGGAUUAAUUCGAUGCAACGCGAAGAACCUUACCUGGUCUUGACAUGUACGGAAUCCUCCAGAGACGGAGGAGUGCCUUCGGGAGCC